CGGCGAACGGGUGCGUAACACGUGAGCAAUCUGCCGAUCUCUGGGGGAUAGCCGGCCCAACGGCCGGGUAAUACCGCAUACGCUCAUCGGGGGACAUCCCCUGGUGAGGAAACCUCCGGGGGAGAUCGAGGAGCUCGCGACCUAUCAGCUAGUUGGCGAGGUAAUGGCUCACCAAGGCUACGACGGGUAGCUGGUCUGAGAGGAUGGCCAGCUACAUUGGGACUGCGACACGGCCCAGACUCCUACGGGAGGCAGCAGUGGGGAAUAUUGCGCAAUGGACGAAAGUCUGACGCAGCGACGCCGCGUGUGGGAUGAAGCUCUUCGGGGUGUAAACCACUGUUGCCCGGGAAGAAACUCCUGAUUCGUCAGGACUGACGGUACCGGGUGAGGAAGCACCGGCUAACUCUGUGCCAGCAGCCGCGGUAAUACAGAGGGUGCGAGCGUUGUCCGGAAUCACUGGGCGUAAAGGGCGCGUAGGUGGCGGGAUAAGCGUGCGGUGAAAGCCCGGGGCUCAACCCCGGGUCUGCCGUGCGGACUGUCUUGCUCGAGCGUAGUAGAGGCAGGUGGAAUUCCGGGUGUAGCGGUGGGAUGCGUAGAGAUCCGGAAGAACACCGGUGGCGAAGGCGGCCUGCUGGGCUACUGCUGACACUGAGGCGCGACAGCGUGGGGAGCAAACAGGAUUAGAUACCCUGGUAGUCCACGCCGUAAACGAUGGGUACUAGGUGUCUGGGGGAGCGACCCCCUGGGUGCCGGCGCUAACGCAUGAAGUACCCCGCCUGGGGAGUACGGCCGCAAGGCUGAAACUCAAAGGAAUUGACGGGGGCCCGCACAAGCGGUGGAGCAUGUGGUUUAAUUCG
RNAcentral lists this ribosomal RNA (857 nucleotides) under uncultured bacterium. Its description in RNAcentral is "bacterial SSU rRNA". It matches the Rfam family "Bacterial small subunit ribosomal RNA", at positions 96 to 953 of the family's 1533-position model. The record is from RNAcentral.